UGAUUUCCCUCUUUUUUUUAGGCAAACGAACAGGCCCUAAGCGGAAAUUUCCUAUUUCUCUCCCGACUUCAUCUUCAUUCUGGGUUUGUUCUUUUCUACGGACGAUCAAACCCAAAAGUUGGAUUGGUUUGUGGGCAAAGUGACCACUUCCGGCGAUACCCACGAACAAGAUUGGCCGGAGAUUAUCAAACGUCAACGGAGAUGCCGACGGUGGCCGUGAAGAGGUUUUGGAGGUGAUUUUCUCUCUCUAGUUGCUCUGCUCUGGAACUGUUUGAUGAGUUUCAAGUUUGCGUCACAAGAAAAGGCUAUUCCGGAAGUUAGUCGUAGGCCUUCCUUUUCUUAAUCAGACCUGUUUCAGGGUGUUUCUAGUUUAAAGCAUUAGAUUUGGUUUAAAUAAAUGAAUAAAGAAAAAGUAAUCAGAAAGUUCUUUUUAACA
This is a long non-coding RNA of Asparagus officinalis (garden asparagus), 436 nucleotides long. RefSeq lists it as uncharacterized. The transcript is spliced from 2 exons. The record is from RefSeq and is a predicted model, not a curated record. Lineage: Eukaryota; Viridiplantae; Streptophyta; Magnoliopsida; Asparagales; Asparagaceae.